AAAUUGAAGAGUUUGAUCAUGGCUCAGAUUGAACGCUGGCGGCAGGCCUAACACAUGCAAGUCGAACGGUAACAGGAAGCAGCUUGCUGCUUUGCUGACGAGUGGCGGACGGGUGAGUAAUGUCUGGGAAACUGCCUGAUGGAGGGGGAUAACUACUGGAAACGGUAGCUAAUACCGCAUAACGUCGCAAGACCAAAGAGGGGGACCUUAGGGCCUCUUGCCAUCGGAUGUGCCCAGAUGGGAUUAGCUAGUAGGUGGGGUAACGGCUCACCUAGGCGACGAUCCCUAGCUGGUCUGAGAGGAUGACCAGCCACACUGGAACUGAGACACGGUCCAGACUCCUACGGGAGGCAGCAGUGGGGAAUAUUGCACAAUGGGCGCAAGCCUGAUGCAGCCAUGCCGCGUGUAUGAAGAAGGCCUUCGGGUUGUAAAGUACUUUCAGCGGGGAGGAAGGGUGUAAAGUUAAUACCUUUGCUCAUUGACGUUACCCGCAGAAGAAGCACCGGCUAACUCCGUGCCAGCAGCCGCGGUAA
Molecule: ribosomal RNA, 533 nt
Filed under: Escherichia coli
Lineage: Bacteria; Pseudomonadati; Pseudomonadota; Gammaproteobacteria; Enterobacterales; Enterobacteriaceae
Description: bacterial SSU rRNA
Rfam family: Bacterial small subunit ribosomal RNA
Source: RNAcentral